CUUCCCAUUUACUUGCUGCUCUAGUCUCUCAGUGGCAGGAGCAGUUAUACGCAUGGGAUAAAAUAAUAUCAGACAAUUGUAAAUUGAGAUUUUUCUCUCUUCUGCAUGGUCUAGACGUUG
RNAcentral lists this small nucleolar RNA (120 nucleotides) under Microtus ochrogaster (prairie vole). RNAcentral describes it as "Small nucleolar RNA SNORA20 (ENSMOCG00000003769.1)". It matches the Rfam family "Small nucleolar RNA SNORA20". From Rfam's summary of the family: ACA20 is a member of the H/ACA class of snoRNA that guide the sites of modification of uridines to pseudouridines. Lineage: Eukaryota; Metazoa; Chordata; Mammalia; Rodentia; Cricetidae. The record is from Rfam by way of RNAcentral.